UUUUAAGAAGCUAUAAGCUAUGGCCUCUUAAGCCAUCUAAGGGUAACCCUUAAAGG
RNAcentral lists this transfer RNA (56 nucleotides) under Pseudogarypus banksi. RNAcentral's name for it is "tRNA-Lys". Lineage: Eukaryota; Metazoa; Arthropoda; Arachnida; Pseudoscorpiones; Pseudogarypidae. The record is from RNAcentral.